AUGUGUUUGCAGGCGAAAGAAACCCCGUGCACCAUACUCUACUUGAUCAAAGGCCAGAAGGUGGACGUGGGAAAGGGGAUGAUAAUGGACCCCUCUCAACGCACGUUGCACAACCAGCUGAUCCCCGCUGGGCACUUCAGGGUUAGCUUGACCAGUGUGAAAUCGGGGCAUGAGGAUUUGCCUCCUCCAGUACAGCAUGUGGGAGCGGACGACGAGACCCCGCUGCGGAUUGGAAGCUGCAAGGGUUGGGUGCUGCUAUGGUCGAAGAAUCUUAUUCGUCUGGAGCCGGCCGAGAGCACACCAAUAACUACUACAUAUCAACAAGCAUGUGCGGAGACCACCACCCCGCCUACGCAAUUACCAGCUCCUGUAGUGUCGGGUGAGAGCGGCGGACGACAUGAUGAAGGGGGUGCAAUAGUACUGGCUGAUGUAAUUUCUCCUGUAGAACAGAGAAUGGAUGAUGAGACGGAGGUCGACCCUAUGGAUUACCUCAAUACAAACGCGUAUGACUGUGACAUAGAUAUGAUGAGUCAACCAUAUGACGAAUCGGGCUAUCAGCUUGCUAAUGAGGAUAUGGAUGAUAUGCCCGGGCAGGGUCGUACCAUGGAUUGCAAAAAGUCUCUCUUCAUGAAAUCCUCACAGGACACGCCUGAAGAUGCCGCCUCAACACAGGCUCAACUAGCCGGGUGCGAGGGUCGUUCAGUACUUAGCCCGGAAACACUUGGGCAGGGGUUAAGGAAGGGUCUGGAAGGUGUGCCCAAGAAAAAGGAGAGGAAGAGAUCGGGGAAGGUAACUGCCUCCAAACAAGCCAGAGCACACAGCAGCCAGACGAUGCAUUCUGAAGAGCGUGUACUCGUGAAAGGUGCGGUCAUGUUCCAUCUCACGGGCGAGCCGAUGCUACCGCCGAAACCGCUGGAGGCACUAUCAGGGGAUCUCAGGAGACUGCACGACCAUGUGUUGUCGACUGAGAAAAGCCUACUAGCCUCAAAGGAUCCAGGAUAUCCGACAUACGCGGCUCGUGUGCCUGAGGGGAAGUGCUACGUCGACACAUGGCCCGCGGAGGUGUUCUUCCUGCGGUUUGACCAUAUCUUUGAGAUGUUUCUAACAAGGCGGCUUGAUUUUACUAUCGUUCGCCUUUUUGCGCUACAUAUGAGCUCCGUCAUGAAGAGUGAAGAAGUCUCGCAAAUUUGUGUGGCGGAUCCGUACUACAUGCAUGAGCCUUUCUUGAGUCUCGGCGACUUUGAGCGUGAAACUGAUAGGGAGUACCUCCAAAACUUUAUGGUACAGAAUAAGGACCGGGAAAUUGUCCUCGUGCCUUAUCAUCCAAAGUAA
This 1332-nucleotide ribosomal RNA is filed under the name Triticum aestivum (bread wheat). Its description in RNAcentral is "partial small subunit ribosomal RNA". The record is from RNAcentral. Lineage: Eukaryota; Viridiplantae; Streptophyta; Magnoliopsida; Poales; Poaceae.